Brassica napus (rape) is the source of this 761-nucleotide long non-coding RNA. RefSeq lists it as uncharacterized. The transcript is spliced from 2 exons. The record is from RefSeq and is a predicted model, not a curated record. Lineage: Eukaryota; Viridiplantae; Streptophyta; Magnoliopsida; Brassicales; Brassicaceae.
CUUUAUCGUGAACCAACUACUCUUUUUCUCUUAUCUCAAUAUCUAAAAAUCAAGUAGUUAUCUUUUUCUCUUCCAGUUUGACGAUUUCUUCUUCAUUCUCACCGCCGGAGAAUAAAAAUCAUGGUGACUCCACGCUGUAUUCUUCUACAAUGAAAUAGCAAAAGCCGUCGUCUCCUCCAAUUCGACGGAAACACAAUCCGCCGUCAAUUUUUCACCGGUAUUAAUUUCAACUGCCGUUAAUUUCUCAAAAACCACAACGAAUGGUAUGACCUAUCUUCUCUGAUUAUUCGUUGAUAAUCUCCUCAACCCAUGAUUAAAGCGUUAGUUGACACCUAAAUCUUCCUAUGUGUUGCAAAAACCUCCAACAGAAAGUCACCUCUUCACAUUCUCCUAUCCACGAUUACCCAAUCACGUCUCCCCCAACCAUGCCUCGACCAGCCACUACUUUCCCAACCACAUUUCACACAGCCACAGUUCACCCACACGCUAGACGCCUACUCUGGUUUCAACCCCUUCACCCAACCACAUGUUUUCUGUCCACACUACCAUCAACCAUACUUCAUCCCACCACGAUUCACCAGACCACCUUCCAACGCACCAAGCUCCACCAGCCAAAAUAAGACCAAUCCAGCCUUACCACACGUUUCAUGAACAAUGUUUUUCCACAACAAGGAAAGAUAUACACAUUUAUGUCUUCUCUUUUUAGUAGAUUUGUACUUGCUUUAACAUUAGUCAUCCGAUUUGUUUUUACAUCCUUUAAU